Molecule: transfer RNA, 100 nt
Organism: Moniliophthora roreri MCA 2997
Lineage: Eukaryota; Fungi; Basidiomycota; Agaricomycetes; Agaricales; Marasmiaceae
Rfam family: tRNA
About the family: Transfer RNA (tRNA) molecules are approximately 80 nucleotides in length. Their secondary structure includes four short double-helical elements and three loops (D, anti-codon, and T loops).
Source: Rfam
GGCCGACUAGCUCAGUUGGUUAGAGCGUCGUGCUAAUAUCAAGGUCUCUCCAUGUUAGAUAUUUACGCGAAGGUCUUGGGUUCGAUCCCCACGUUGGCCA